This 497-nucleotide ribosomal RNA is filed under the name uncultured bacterium. Its description in RNAcentral is "partial 16S ribosomal RNA". It matches the Rfam family "Bacterial small subunit ribosomal RNA", at positions 28 to 507 of the family's 1533-position model. The record is from RNAcentral.
GAUGAACGCUGGCGGCGUGCCUAAUACAUGCAAGUCGAGCGAACGGACGAGAAGCUUGCUUCUCUGAUGUUAGCGGCGGACGUGUGAGUAACACGUGGAUAACCUACCUAUAAGACUGGGAUAACUUCGGGAAACCGGAGCUAAUACCGGAUGAUAUUUUGAACCGCAUGGUUCAAAAGUGAAAGACGGUCUUGCUGUCUCUUAUAGAUGGAUCCGCGCUGCAUUAGCUAGUUGGUAAGGUAACGGCUUACCAAGGCAACGAUGCAUAGCCGACCUGAGAGGGUGAUCGGCCACACUGGAACUGAGACACGGUGCAGACUCCUACGGGAGGCAGCAGUAGGGAAUCUUCCGCAAUGGGCGAAAGCAUGACGGAGCAACGCCGCGUGAGUGAUGAAGGUCUUCGGAUCGUAAAACUCUGUUAUUAGGGAAGAACAUAUGUGUAAGUAACUGUGCACAUCGUGACGGUACCUAAACAGAAAGCAACGGCUAACUACGUG